UUAAGUUAUUAAGGGCGCACGGUGGAUGCCUUGGCACUAGAAGCCAAUGAAGGACGUUACUAACGACGAUAUGCUUUGGGGAGCUGUAAGUAAGCUUUGAUCCAGAGAUUUCCGAAUGGGGAAACCCAGCAUGAGUUAUGUCAUGUUAUCGAUAUGUGAAUACAUAGCAUAUCAGAAGGCACACCCGGAGAACUGAAACAUCUUAGUACCCGGAGGAAGAGAAAGAAAAUUCGAUUCCCUUAGUAGCGGCGAGCGAAACGGGAAGAGCCCAAACCAACAAGCUUGCUUGUUGGGGUUGUAGGACACUCUAUACGGAGUUACAAAGGACGACAUUAGACGAAUCAUCUGGAAAGAUGAAUCAAAGAAGGUAAUAAUCCUGUAGUCGAAAAUGUUGUCUCUCUUGAGUGGAUCCUGAGUACGACGGAGCACGUGAAAUUCCGUCGGAAUCUGGGAGGACCAUCUCCUAAGGCUAAAUACUCUCUAGUGACCGAUAGUGAACCAGUACCGUGAGGGAAAGGUGAAAAGCACCCCGGAAGGGGAGUGAAAUAGAACCUGAAACCGUGUGCUUACAAGUAGUCAGAGCCCGUUAAUGGGUGAUGGCGUGCCUUUUGUAGAAUGAACCGGCGAGUUACGAUUUGAUGCAAGGUUAAGCAGUAAAUGUGGAGCCGUAGCGAAAGCGAGUCUGAAUAGGGCGUUUAGUAUUUGGUCGUAGACCCGAAACCAGGUGAUCUACCCUUGGUCAGGUUGAAGUUCAGGUAACACUGAAUGGAGGACCGAACCGACUUACGUUGAAAAGUGAGCGGAUGAACUGAGGGUAGCGGAGAAAUUCCAAUCGAACCUGGAGAUAGCUGGUUCUCUCCGAAAUAGCUUUAGGGCUAGCCUCAAGUGAUGAUUAUUGGAGGUAGAGCACUGUUUGGACGAGGGGCCCCUCUCGGGUUACCGAAUUCAGACAAACUCCGAAUGCCAAUUAAUUUAACUUGGGAGUCAGAACAUGGGUGAUAAGGUCCGUGUUCGAAAGGGAAACAGCCCAGACCACCAGCUAAGGUCCCAAAAUAUAUGUUAAGUGGAAAAGGAUGUGGCGUUGCCCAGACAACUAGGAUGUUGGCUUAGAAGCAGCCAUCAUUUAAAGAGUGCGUAAUAGCUCACUAGUCGAGUGACACUGCGCCGAAAAUGUACCGGGGCUAAACAUAUUACCGAAGCUGUGGAUUGUCCUUUGGACAAUGGUAGGAGAGCGUUCUAAGGGCGUUGAAGCAUGAUCGUAAGGACAUGUGGAGCGCUUAGAAGUGAGAAUGCCGGUGUGAGUAGCGAAAGACGGGUGAGAAUCCCGUCCACCGAUUGACUAAGGUUUCCAGAGGAAGGCUCGUCCGCUCUGGGUUAGUCGGGUCCUAAGCUGAGGCCGACAGGCGUAGGCGAUGGAUAACAGGUUGAUAUUCCUGUACCACCUAUAAUCGUUUUAAUCGAUGGGGGGACGCAGUAGGAUAGGCGAAGCGUGCGAUUGGAUUGCACGUCUAAGCAGUAAGGCUGAGUAUUAGGCAAAUCCGGUACUCGUUAAGGCUGAGCUGUGAUGGGGAGAAGACAUUGUGUCUUCGAGUCGUUGAUUUCACACUGCCGAGAAAAGCCUCUAGAUAGAAAAUAGGUGCCCGUACCGCAAACCGACACAGGUAGUCAAGAUGAGAAUUCUAAGGUGAGCGAGCGAACUCUCGUUAAGGAACUCGGCAAAAUGACCCCGUAACUUCGGGAGAAGGGGUGCUCUUUAGGGUUAACGCUCAGAAGAGCCGCAGUGAAUAGGCCCAAGCGACUGUUUAUCAAAAACACAGGUCUCUGCUAAACCGUAAGGUGAUGUAUAGGGGCUGACGCCUGCCCGGUGCUGGAAGGUUAAGAGGAGUGGUUAGCUUCUGCGAAGCUACGAAUCGAAGCCCCAGUAAACGGCGGCCGUAACUAUAACGGUCCUAAGGUAGCGAAAUUCCUUGUCGGGUAAGUUCCGACCCGCACGAAAGGCGUAACGAUUUGGGCACUGUCUCAACGAGAGACUCGGUGAAAUCAUAGUACCUGUGAAGAUGCAGGUUACCCGCGACAGGACGGAAAGACCCCGUGGAGCUUUACUGUAGCCUGAUAUUGAAAUUCGGCACAGCUUGUACAGGAUAGGUAGGAGCCUUUGAAACGUGAGCGCUAGCUUACGUGGAGGCGCUGGUGGGAUACUACCCUAGCUGUGUUGGAUUUCUAACCCGCACCACUUAUCGUGGUGGGAGACAGUGUCAGGCGGGCAGUUUGACUGGGGCGGUCGCCUCCUAAAAGGUAACGGAGGCGCUCAAAGGUUCCCUCAGAAUGGUUGGAAAUCAUUCAUAGAGUGUAAAGGCAUAAGGGAGCUUGACUGCGAGACCUACAAGUCGAGCAGGGUCGAAAGACGGACUUAGUGAUCCGGUGGUUCCGCAUGGAAGGGCCAUCGCUCAACGGAUAAAAGCUACCCCGGGGAUAACAGGCUUAUCUCCCCCAAGAGUUCACAUCGACGGGGAGGUUUGGCACCUCGAUGUCGGCUCAUCGCAUCCUGGGGCUGUAGUCGGUCCCAAGGGUUGGGCUGUUCGCCCAUUAAAGCGGUACGCGAGCUGGGUUCAGAACGUCGUGAGACAGUUCGGUCCCUAUCCGUCGUGGGCGUAGGAAAUUUGAGAGGAGCUGUCCUUAGUACGAGAGGACCGGGAUGGACAUACCUCUGGUGUACCAGUUGUCGUGCCAACGGCAUAGCUGGGUAGCUAUGUGUGGACGGGAUAAGUGCUGAAAGCAUCUAAGCAUGAAGCCCCCCUCAAGAUGAGAUUUCCCAACUUCGGUUAUAAGAUCCCUCAAAGAUGAUGAGGUUAAUAGGUUCGAGGUGGAAGCAUGGUGACAUGUGGAGCUGACGAAUACUAAUCGAUCGAAGACUUAAUCAA
Molecule: ribosomal RNA, 2921 nt
Filed under: Staphylococcus aureus
Lineage: Bacteria; Bacillati; Bacillota; Bacilli; Caryophanales; Staphylococcaceae
Description: bacterial LSU rRNA
Rfam family: Bacterial large subunit ribosomal RNA
Source: RNAcentral